CCUACGUGAGGCAGCAGUGGGGAAUAUUGGGCAAUGGGCGCAAGCCUGACCCAGCAACGCCGCGUGAAGGAAGAAGGCUUUCGGGUUGUAAACUUCUUUUAAGAGGGAAGAGCAGAAGACGGUACCUCUUGAAUAAGCCACGGCUAACUACGUGCCAGCAGCCGCGGUAAUACGUAGGUGGCAAGCGUUGUCCGGAUUUACUGGGUUUAAAGGGCGUGCAGCCGGGAAGACAAGUCAGAUGUGAAAUCCCGCGGCUCAACCGCGGAACUGCAUUUGAAACUGUUUUUCUUGAGUACCGGAGAGGUCAUCGGAAUUCCUUGUGUAGCGGUGAAAUGCGUAGAUAUAAGGAAGAACACCAGUGGCGAAGGCGGAUGACUGGACGGCAACUGACGGUGAGGCGCGAAAGCGUGGGGAGCAAACAGGAUUAGAUACCCGGGUAGUC
RNAcentral lists this ribosomal RNA (442 nucleotides) under uncultured bacterium. Its description in RNAcentral is "partial 16S ribosomal RNA". It matches the Rfam family "Bacterial small subunit ribosomal RNA", at positions 338 to 795 of the family's 1533-position model. The record is from RNAcentral.